Molecule: ribosomal RNA, 253 nt
Filed under: uncultured bacterium
Lineage: Bacteria
Description: partial 16S ribosomal RNA
Rfam family: Bacterial small subunit ribosomal RNA
Source: RNAcentral
GACAGAGGUGCCGAGCGUUAGGCGGAAUCACUGGGCUUAAAGCGUGUGUAGGCGGGUCGUUAAGUGAGUUGUGAAAUCCCACCGCUCAACGGUGGAACUGCUGGGCAUACUGGCGAUCUUGAGCCACCUAGGGGCAGACGGAACAAGCGGUGGAGCGGUGAAAUGCGUAGAUAUCGCUUGGAACGCCGACGGUGAAAACAGUCUGCUGGGGGUGUGCUGACGCUGAGACACGAAAGCCAGGGGAGCGAACGGG